Molecule: ribosomal RNA, 460 nt
Filed under: uncultured bacterium
Lineage: Bacteria
Description: partial 16S ribosomal RNA
Rfam family: Bacterial small subunit ribosomal RNA
Source: RNAcentral
CCUACGGGGAGCAGCAGUGAGGAAUAUUGGUCAAUGGACGAGAGUCUGAACCAGCCAAGUAGCGUGAAGGAUGACUGCCCUAUGGGUUGUAAACUUCUUUUAUAUGGGAAUAAAAUGUUCCACGUGUGGGAUUUUGUAUGUACCAUAUGAAUAAGGAUCGGCUAACUCCGUGCCAGCAGCCGCGGUAAUACGGAGGAUCCGAGCGUUAUCCGGAUUUAUUGGGUUUAAAGGGAGCGUAGGUGGAUUGUUAAGGCAGUUGUGAAAGUUUGCGGCUCAACCGUAAAAUUGCAGUUGAAACUGGCAGUCUUGAGUACAGUAGAGGUGGGCGGAAUUCGUGGUGUAGCGGUGAAAUGCUUAGAUAUCACGAAGAACUCCGAUUGCGAAGGCAGUUCACUGGACUGCAACUGACACUGAGGCUCGAAAGUGUGGGUAUCAAACAGGAUUAGAUACCCGAGUAGUC